This 223-nucleotide non-coding RNA is filed under the name Streptomyces sp. DSM 15324. RNAcentral's name for it is "Streptomyces sRNA 4677". It matches the Rfam family "Streptomyces sRNA 4677". Rfam says of the family: Located in the intergenic region between anti-sigma factor SCO4677 gene and a putative regulatory protein gene SCO4676. scr4677 expression requires the SCO4677 activity and scr4677 sRNA itself seem to affect the levels of the SCO4676-associated transcripts. Lineage: Bacteria; Bacillati; Actinomycetota; Actinomycetes; Kitasatosporales; Streptomycetaceae. The record is from Rfam by way of RNAcentral.
GGGUCCGGCGGGUCGCUGACCUCCAGAAAGAACCGGGGGAAAGAACUCCCGCCCACCCACCCUCCCCGGCCGCGCCGCUCGCGUCACUCGUCCGGGUGACCGGCUUGCAGGUGCGGGAUGCGGACGGUUACGUUCGCCGCGACCACCACAAACAGAUACGGCCCCCGGCCGGGACUGGCAUCCCGAACGAGGGCCUAACCGCUCAGGAAGCGAGACCUUCCCG